CAGCAGCCGCGGUAAUACGUAGGGUGCGAGCGUUAAUCGGAAUACUGGGCGUAAAGCGUGCGCAGGCGGUUAUAUAAGACAGAUGUGAAAUCCCCGGGCUCAACCUGGGACCUGCAUUUGUGACUGUAUAGCUAGAGUACGGUAGAGGGGGACGGAAUUCCGCGUGUAGCAGUGAAAUGCGUAGAUAUGCGGAGGAACACCGAUGGCGGAGGCAAUCCCCUGGACCUGUACUGACGCUCAUGCACGAAAGCGUGGGGAGCAAACAGGAUUAGAUACCCGUGUAGUCCCUGUCUCUUAUACA
This 301-nucleotide ribosomal RNA is filed under the name uncultured bacterium. RNAcentral's name for it is "partial 16S ribosomal RNA". It matches the Rfam family "Bacterial small subunit ribosomal RNA", at positions 509 to 808 of the family's 1533-position model. The record is from RNAcentral.